AAAGAAAAAGAAAGUACUGUACACAUUGAAACUCAUCAGAACACAAGCAAAAAUGUUGCGGCUGUGCAGCCAAUGAAACGAGGACAAAAGAGUAAAAUGAAAAAAAUGAAAGAAAAAUACAAAGACCAGGAUGAAGAAGACCGUGAACUUAUCAUGAAGUUGCUGGGGGUUCAAACAAAGAAGAAAAAGGGAAGAAGGGGAAGAAAGGAAAAACAAAGGACGAACCUGUGAAGAAACAGCCCCAGAAACCUAGAGGUGGACAGAGGGUCUCUGACAACAUUAAGAAAGAAACUCCGUUCCUUGAGGUUAUAACUCAUGAGUUACAAGACUUUGCUGUAGAUGAUCCACAUGAUGACAAGGAAGAGCAAGAUCUGGAUCAACAGGGAAAUGAGGAAAACCUAUUUGAUUCUUUGACAGGCCAGCCACAUCCUGAAGAUGUACUACUGUUUGCCAUUCCAAUAUGUGCCCCUUACACCACCAUGACAAACUACAAGUAAAUAUAAAGUGAAACUUACUCCUGGAGUGCAGAAAAAGGGAAAAGCUGCAAAAACAGCCUUGAAUAGUUUCAUGCAUUCCAAAGAAGCAACAGCAAGAGAAAAAGACUUAUUCCGCAGCGUAAAGGACACAGAUUUAUCAAGAAACAUUCCUGGCAAAGUGAAAGUGUCUGCACCCAAUCUUCUGAACGUAAAAAGGAAAUAGCUGAAAUGAAAUUCUAAAAUAUUUGAGAAGAGCCAAUUUUAUAGCCUUUUGGAAGUUCAAAGAUGAAAGCACCAUGUAUCAGGAUUUCCGCAUUAUAAAAAUGAACUAAACAUUGCCUUGCUAUAUUCACCAAAAGGACUUACUUCUUGUUUUUUCCCAGUUUUAUAUAGAGGAAACACUGUCUAUGAUAGGAUUUCCAAAAGUAUUUGUGGACAGUUAAAUGCUAAUUAAUAUACAUCUGUAGUUAUUCUACAUUUUCUUGAAAUUUGGGAGGUUAAUACCAAGUAUUCAUUUCAUGAUGUAAAGAAACUGAACAGUGAAGUGGCUUGAUUGCUUAAACUAUUGACUUGGUAAGUCUACUGUAUAUAACAUCUAAUAUAUAUAUUACAGGCCAAAUGAACUAAACAUUGCCUUGCUAUAUUCACCAAAA
This 1129-nucleotide long non-coding RNA is filed under the name Homo sapiens (human). RNAcentral's name for it is "long non-coding RNA NONHSAT169297.1". The record is from RNAcentral. Lineage: Eukaryota; Metazoa; Chordata; Mammalia; Primates; Hominidae.